Molecule: ribosomal RNA, 233 nt
Filed under: uncultured bacterium
Lineage: Bacteria
Description: partial 16S ribosomal RNA
Rfam family: Bacterial small subunit ribosomal RNA
Source: RNAcentral
UGAGUAACCUGCCCUUAACUCUGGGAUAAGCCUGGGAAACUGGGUCUAAUACCGGAUAUGACUCCUCAUCGCAUGGUGGGGGGUGGAAAGCUUUUUGUGGUUUUGGAUGGACUCGCGGCCUAUCAGCUUGUUGGUGAGGUAAUGGCUUACCAAGGCGACGACGGGUAGCUGGUCUGAGAGGAUGGCCAGCCACAUUGGGACUGAGACACGGCCCAGACUCCUACGGGAGGCAG